This 469-nucleotide ribosomal RNA is filed under the name uncultured bacterium. RNAcentral's name for it is "partial 16S ribosomal RNA". It matches the Rfam family "Bacterial small subunit ribosomal RNA", at positions 28 to 507 of the family's 1533-position model. The record is from RNAcentral.
GACGAACGCUGGCGGCGUGCUUAACACAUGCAAGUCGAACGGAAAGGCCCUGCUUUUGUGGGGUGCUCGAGUGGCGAACGGGUGAGUAACACGUGAGUAACCUGCCCCUUGACUUUGGGAUAACUUAAGGAAACUGGGGCUAAUACCGGAUAGGAGCUCCUGCUGCAUGGUGGGGGUGGGAAAGUUUCGGCGGUUGGGGAUGGACUCGCGGCUUAUCAGCUUGUUGGUGGGGUAGUGGCUUACCAAGGCUUUGACGGGUAGCCGGCCUGAGAGGGUGACCGGCCACAUUGGGACUGAGAUACGGCCCAGACUCCUACGGGAGGCAGCAGUGGGGAAUAUUGCACAAUGGGCGGAAGCCUGAUGCAGCAACGCCGCGUGCGGGAUGACGGCCUUCGGGUUGUAAACCGCUUUCGCCUGUGACGAAGCGUGAGUGACGGUAAUGGGUAAAGAAGCACCGGCUAACUACGUG